RNAcentral lists this long non-coding RNA (397 nucleotides) under Ananas comosus (pineapple). RNAcentral describes it as "long non-coding RNA (ACOM_LNC024580)". The record is from RNAcentral. Lineage: Eukaryota; Viridiplantae; Streptophyta; Magnoliopsida; Poales; Bromeliaceae.
CCACAUUACACCCCCACCGGAACCUGAACCCGAAUCUGAAAAUCCGAACCUUAAACAACUAUUUCUCUUUUCAAUAUUUCAAAAUAUAUUACAUUAAAUCUAAAUUUUUAAAAUAUAAGUUCAAAUAUAAUAUCAAACUUUUAUAUACAUAUUAUAUGUAAUAUAAAAUAAAUUUGGGUUCGGAUCGAGUUAGGGUUCAGGUCAGGUACAGUUAAAAUUCAUAUCCGAAUUCAUAUCCGUCGGGUUUUUAUUUUUGAUAUUCAUACCCGAAACUAUAUCCGUUUAGUAUUGGAUAAAUCAGCUUCGUUCGAAUUCAAAUUCCGAUAAAAUUUCGGGUAUCCGUACCCAUUGACAUUCCUAGUCCUACACCCACAAACUCUUGAAAAAACUAUUAUCU